UUGGCAUGAUGAGGAAAGUUAUUGAUUUUCUGAUCCACUGGAUGAGAAAUUCCUCCUACUCAUUCUGA
Molecule: small nucleolar RNA, 68 nt
Organism: Panicum hallii
Lineage: Eukaryota; Viridiplantae; Streptophyta; Magnoliopsida; Poales; Poaceae
Product: small nucleolar RNA Z105
Exons: 1
Source: RefSeq, a predicted model, not a curated record